RNAcentral lists this long non-coding RNA (803 nucleotides) under Rattus norvegicus (Norway rat). RNAcentral's name for it is "long non-coding RNA NONRATT029629". Lineage: Eukaryota; Metazoa; Chordata; Mammalia; Rodentia; Muridae. The record is from RNAcentral.
GUUUCUCCACACAUAAAAGAUCUUUUUAAAAAUACGGAGAAGAAUGGCAGCAGAAACACAGACACUAAACUUUGGGCCUGAAUGUCUCUUACAGAUAUGUUUGGACCCCGAAUAUGGAAUUCUCAUGGAAUUUUGAGAUCCAUCACAUUAUAGUGUGGCUUUCCCCCCCUCUUCUUCUUUUCCCCCCAAUGUUGGUGAUUGAAGAUCCUCUCUUCAGUGGCGUGAAUAAUGAUAGUUUAUUUUCCAUUCAUACUUGGAACAAACCCCUUUGGUAAUGUCAAAGGCAGUACCUAAACCAAGAAUUGGAGUAGUAGUAGCAUUCUUUAUGUUUAGGUAGUAGUUUUUAAGAUUUCUGUAAGAGGUCCUUGUUAGAGGAGUCUUGCAAACUACCUGCUCAUACAUACUUCUUUUGAUAUGUAAUUCCUAGACAGUCUUAACCUUCAUAGUUAGCAUUCAGAAGCUGAAGGAGAAAACAAUUGAAGGUCUGAGAACCAACACACUGCCUAUAGUUUGAGUUUAUUUUCAAAUGUUGAUCUAAACAAUGCUGCACCUGUUUCAGUUAUUUUAUAUUUAAAAAAUAAUUUUCUUAUUAUUAAAUCAUUUUGUUUCUAUAAAAAUCAGGAAUUAUAAGUAAGCAAGGAAAAGAUAUAAUUACCUUAGUUUGAUCCUUAGUACACACUGUACAUAUCUUCGUAUACCUUUCCAAGUGGUUUUAUGUAUCUUGUUUGUAUAUAUGUAUAUUUUAUUUUCACAAAACCGGAUCAUAUUGUGCAUUCAAUCUUGUAACCUUUAAAAAACUAAGU